UGGGGAAUUUUGGACAAUGGGGGAAACCCUGAUCCAGCCAUCCCGCGUGUGCGAUGAAGGCCUUCGGGUUGUAAAGCACUUUUGGCAGGAAAGAAACGUCAUGGGUUAAUACCCCGUGAAACUGACGGUACCUGCAGAAUAAGCACCGGCUAACUACGUGCCAGCAGCCGCGGUAAUACGUAGGGUGCAAGCGUUAAUCGGAAUUACUGGGCGUAAAGCGUGCGCAGGCGGUUCGGAAAGAAAGAUGUGAAAUCCCAGAGCUCAACUUUGGAACUGAAUUUUUAACUACCGGGCUAGAGUGUGUCAGAGGGAGGUGGAAUUCCGCGUGUAGCAGUGAAAUGCGUAGAUAUGCGGAGGAACACCGAUGGCGAAGGCAGCCUCCUGGGAUAACACUGACGCUCAUGCACGAAAGCGUGGGAAGCAAACAGG
Molecule: ribosomal RNA, 429 nt
Filed under: Acidobacteriota bacterium
Lineage: Bacteria; Pseudomonadati; Acidobacteriota
Description: Acidobacteria bacterium partial 16S ribosomal RNA
Rfam family: Bacterial small subunit ribosomal RNA
Source: RNAcentral